Molecule: small nucleolar RNA, 77 nt
Organism: Tachyglossus aculeatus (Australian echidna)
Lineage: Eukaryota; Metazoa; Chordata; Mammalia; Monotremata; Tachyglossidae
Product: small nucleolar RNA SNORD47
Exons: 1
Source: RefSeq, a predicted model, not a curated record
GACCAAUGAUGUAAACAUUCUGCCAAAUGAAACAGACUGAUUUCACCUAUAAACCGUUCCAUUUUUAUUCUGAGGUU